This 536-nucleotide long non-coding RNA is filed under the name Phoenix dactylifera (date palm). RNAcentral's name for it is "long non-coding RNA (PDAC_LNC016351)". The record is from RNAcentral. Lineage: Eukaryota; Viridiplantae; Streptophyta; Magnoliopsida; Arecales; Arecaceae.
GCCUAAUUCAUGAGGGAUGGUGCCAGAUAAAUUAUUGGUGUAGAGGUGCAAGGUGUCAAGCAUGGUGAGGUUUCCUAAAAUGGAAGGGAUGGAGCCUGAUAGUUGAUUUUUACUGAUAUCUAGAGUACGUAACUUCACUAGGUUGCCUAAUUCAUGAGGGAUUAUGCCAGAUAAAUUAUUGAUGUAGAGGUACAAGGCGUCAAGCAUGGUGAGGUUUCCUAAAGUGGAAGGGAUAGAGCCAGAUAGUUGAUUUUCAUAGAUAGUUAGAGAAUGUAAGUUCACUAGUUUGCCUAAUUCAAGAGGGAUUGUGCCAGAUAAAUUAUUGGUGUCGAGGAACAAGGUGUCGAGCAUGGUGAGGUUUCCUAAAGUGUUAGGGAUGGAUCCCGAUAAUUGAGUUUCCCAGAUUUCUAGAUCACGUAAGUUCACUAAAUUGCCUAAUUCAUGAGGAAUGGUGCCCAAUAUAUUAUUUGAGCCAAGGUACAAGUUCUUGAGUUUGAUGAGAUUGCCUAAACUGGAAGGGAUGGAACCUGUUAAAU